Molecule: ribosomal RNA, 253 nt
Filed under: uncultured bacterium
Lineage: Bacteria
Description: partial 16S ribosomal RNA
Rfam family: Bacterial small subunit ribosomal RNA
Source: RNAcentral
UACGGAGGGUGCAAGCGUUAUCCGGAAUCACUGGGCUUAAAGGGUGCGUAGGCGGCGCGGAAAGUUGGGUGUGAAAUCCCUCGGCUCAACCGAGGAACUGCGCCCAAAACUACCGUGCUCGAGGGAGAUAGAGGUGAGCGGAACUUAGGGUGGAGCGGUGAAAUGCGUUGAUAUCCUAAGGAACACCGGUGGCGAAAGCGGCUCACUGGAUCUCUUCUGACGCUGAGGCACGAAAGCUAGGGUAGCUAACGGG